This 406-nucleotide ribosomal RNA is filed under the name uncultured bacterium. RNAcentral describes it as "partial 16S ribosomal RNA". It matches the Rfam family "Bacterial small subunit ribosomal RNA", at positions 30 to 526 of the family's 1533-position model. The record is from RNAcentral.
AUUGAACGCUGUCGGCAGGCCUAACACAUGCAAGUCGAGCGAGCGGCGCGCGGUUGAGUAAUGUCUGGGAACCUGCCGCAUGGAGUGGGUUAACUGCUGGAAACGCUAGCUAAUAGCGCAUACCAUCAGAUGUGUCCAGAGGGGAUUAGCUGGUAGGUGGGGUAAUGGCGCACCUAGGCGACGAUCCCUAGCUGGUCUGAGAGGAUGACCAGCCACACGGGAACGGAGACACGGUCCAGACUCCUACGGGAGGCAGCAGUGGGGAAUAUUGCACAAUGGGCGCAAGCCUGAUGCAGCCAUGCCGCGUGGAUGAAGAAGGCCUUCGGGUUGUGAAGUACUUUCAGCGGGGAGGCGUUACCCGGAGAAGAAGCACCGGCUAACUCCGUGCCAGCAGCCGCGGUAAUUC